AACGAACGCUGGCGGCAUGCCUAACACAUGCAAGUCGAACGAGACCUUCGGGUCUAGUGGCGCACGGGUGCGUAACGCGUGGGAACCUGCCCUCAGGUUCGGAAUAACUCCCCGAAAGGGGUGCUAAUACCGGAUAAUGUCUUCGGACCAAAGAUUUAUCGCCUUUGGAUGGGCCCGCGUUGGAUUAGCUAGUUGGUAGGGUAAAAGCCUACCAAGGCGACGAUCCAUAGCUGGUCUGAAAGGAUGAUCAGCCACACUGGGACUGAGACACGGCCCAGACUCCUACGGGAGGCAGCAGUGGGGAGUAUUGGACAAUGGGCGAAAGCCUGAUCCAGCAAUGCCGCGUGAGUGAUGAAGGCCUUAGGGUUGUAAAGCUCUUUUACCCGGGAUGAUAAUGACAGUACCGGGAGAAUAAGCGCCGGCUAACUCCGUG
This 433-nucleotide ribosomal RNA is filed under the name uncultured bacterium. Its description in RNAcentral is "partial 16S ribosomal RNA". It matches the Rfam family "Bacterial small subunit ribosomal RNA", at positions 29 to 507 of the family's 1533-position model. The record is from RNAcentral.